ACAUUAGAUAUUGUAUGGUACUUUUCAAAAAAAAAGUAUGGUGUGCCAUUACUUGCAAGUAUUAUGGGUUUUUAGUCCCCUGUAUUUCCUCCCAUUCUUGAUCCACCUUUCUGCUUAUAUGAACUAGUUCUAUUCGAAUUGAAAUGGGUGGAAAGUAAUGAGAAGAAUCUAUAUAUCUAUAUAUAUCUAUAUAUCUAUAUAUCUAUAUAUACUAUAUAAAGCAUUUCAUAUGCACAUAAUAGUAAUUUACAACACAAUUUGUAAGAUGGCAGACCAAAAAUCACAAACAAAACCUUAUAUUUUUUUCAUUUUUCUUCCCAUUCUACCCUGCUCUCCCUGCAUCGCCCCUGUCAAUUAUGAAACCCUCCAUUGAAAUUGAAUGUUAUCAUCAGUUUCUUCAACUCAAUCGUCCUCUUCAAUGCAAUAAUUAGUUUCAUCAAUACAAUCGUUCCUCCUUCAAUUCGAGUUCGUUUCCAGCCACCCGAAAUAUUAAGAUGUCGACAAUCAUCUUCAGUCUGGUAAUCUAUCGAUUGGUACGCCUUUUCUUUUACGAUGACAACGAUAAACCUGUUGAUUUUAGUUUUAAAGGCUCCAAUGCUCUCUUCGCCCUUACCGAUAGGUAAAAGAGAAUAUCUCCUAAUGAUCCAGAUGCUUCAAAGAAACUAAAAGAAUGUGAAACGGCUGUUAUGAAGCUCAAGUUUGAAGAAGCAAUUUAUGUGCCUACUUCAGAACAACGCUCGGUAGCCGAGUCUAUCGGCUUUCGAACCAUAGUGGUUGUGGUUUGAAAUCUGAAUAACGGGAAGUCAGGAGAACGAUGGAUAACCUGUUAAGGAGGCAAACGAUUCCGCAAAUGAAACUCCUCCAACAUCCCAGCCCUCAGGCAAUGCCAUGGGAGCGGUCCCACCUGAUUGGACCGGAUUUCAGGCUUAUUCGCCUAUGCCUCCACCUGGUUACUUAGCAUCAAGCCCUCAACCUCCUCCCUACAUGUGGGGGGUUCAGCGGUGAGAGUAAUAAUUCAGUACCGAAUGCCAAAAUACCAAAAAAAAGCUGGUACAGAUACCGUAUUGUAUUUUACCGAAUAUCCGCAUUUGAGAAAUCCUAAUACCAAUACCAAUUAGGCUAUAUGGAUGCCAUAUCGCUAAGGUGCCGUUUUAAAUAAUAGAUAUUGGAAGAUGGAUUGAACAAGUUAGAGAGUGUUUCUUGCAACAAAGCAGAAGGCGCAAGUUAGAGGGUGCUUUAAGUGGAGAUUUAGAUAAUACUCCUGUUAUUGAACAAAUUUUGAAGCUAGCAAAGGCUAAGCUUCUUGGACAUAAUAACUACGCAGAGUUAAGCAUGGCUACAAAGAUGGCCACUGUUGACAAAGCAGAAGAGCUGCUCGAAAAGCUAAGGAGUGCUUCUUGUAUUUAAAUAUCUUGUUAUUAAGGUUGUAUUAUAUCCGGUGGCGGGUCUAGAAGAAAGAUUCAGGGUAUCCCAAUUUUUUUUUUUUAAAGUUCGUAUAAAGAAUGAAACCUCGAUAAUAACUUUACCGUUUGUUUAGUUUGAUUGUUUGCAUAGGCAGAUAAUGAGA
Long non-coding RNA from Helianthus annuus (common sunflower), 1567 nucleotides. RefSeq lists it as uncharacterized. The transcript is spliced from 8 exons. Lineage: Eukaryota; Viridiplantae; Streptophyta; Magnoliopsida; Asterales; Asteraceae. The record is from RefSeq and is a predicted model, not a curated record.